Molecule: ribosomal RNA, 516 nt
Filed under: uncultured bacterium
Lineage: Bacteria
Description: bacterial SSU rRNA
Rfam family: Bacterial small subunit ribosomal RNA
Source: RNAcentral
AGAGUUUGAUCCUGGCUCAGGACGAACGCUGGCGGCGUGCUUAACACAUGCAAGUCGAACGGUGAAGCCCUUCGGGGUGGAUCAGUGGCGAACGGGUGAGUAACACGUGGGCAAUCUGCCCUGCACUCUGGGGCAAGCCUUGGAAACGAGGUCUAAUACCGGAUACGACCCUGGAGCGCAUGCUCCGGGGUGGAAAGCUCCGGCGGUGCAGGAUGAGCCCGCGGCCUAUCAGCUUGUUGGUGGGGUGAUGGCCUACCAAGGCGACGACGGGUAGCCGGCCUGAGAGGGCGACCGGCCACACUGGGACUGAAACACGGGCCAGACUCCUACGGGAGGCAGCAGUGGGGAAUUUUGCACAAUGCCCGAAAGGGUGAUGCAGCAACGCCGCGUGAGGGAUGAAGGUCUUCGGAUCGUAAACCUCUUUCGAUCGGGAAAAAUGGGCGGGUGAAUAACCCGUUCUGAUGGUACCGGAAGAAGAAGCCCCGGCUAACUACGUGCCAGCCGCCGCGGUAAUAC